AUCAUGGCUUGGAUUGCCUAACGGGUAAUAAUCUGACAUUCCGGCAGGGUAAAGAAAGAGGAGAGACCCACAACCGAGUCUUUCCUCAGGAAAACCUUCCACUUCCAAGCCUCCCGUUCUUCUCUCUGGGGAAAGCUGAGGGGAAGAGGAAGACGCCUUGAAAGAGAGGAGGGGGAUUUGGGGGGAAGGAUGGCAGGCCUCUUCUCCAUUUGGCCUACCUGAAAGAAGAAACGUCUUGAUUCAGCAGGUGACUCUGCAGGCUCUUCUCAAGCUUUCUCAAUCCUGAGUUCAAGUUUUGGCGGUUAUACCUGGACAUCGGGGCUUCACUGGCCUGAUCUUUCCUCGCUGCAUUGGGUAGACUACGCCAAAGCAACACAAGUAGACCGGGAUGGCCUGGAUCUAACCCCAUCGCAGGCUUUGAGUUUGACACCCCUGCACUACAAUGAUGUGGUCCUUCCGCAAAAAACAUAUUGGACUCAAAUACAUACUUAGUUAGAAUAAGUGAUAAAACAACAUAUAGAUUUGAAACCAGAGAUAUUUUGGGUGGGUAUAUUACCAGAUCAGUAUGACAAAG
Molecule: non-coding RNA, 574 nt
Organism: Pseudonaja textilis
Lineage: Eukaryota; Metazoa; Chordata; Lepidosauria; Squamata; Elapidae
Source: RefSeq, a predicted model, not a curated record